RNAcentral lists this ribosomal RNA (2904 nucleotides) under Escherichia coli. RNAcentral's name for it is "23S ribosomal RNA". It matches the Rfam family "Bacterial large subunit ribosomal RNA". RNAcentral also lists the same sequence under 1 other name. Lineage: Bacteria; Pseudomonadati; Pseudomonadota; Gammaproteobacteria; Enterobacterales; Enterobacteriaceae. The record is from RNAcentral.
GGUUAAGCGACUAAGCGUACACGGUGGAUGCCCUGGCAGUCAGAGGCGAUGAAGGACGUGCUAAUCUGCGAUAAGCGUCGGUAAGGUGAUAUGAACCGUUAUAACCGGCGAUUUCCGAAUGGGGAAACCCAGUGUGAUUCGUCACACUAUCAUUAACUGAAUCCAUAGGUUAAUGAGGCGAACCGGGGGAACUGAAACAUCUAAGUACCCCGAGGAAAAGAAAUCAACCGAGAUUCCCCCAGUAGCGGCGAGCGAACGGGGAGGAGCCCAGAGCCUGAAUCAGUGUGUGUGUUAGUGGAAGCGUCUGGAAAGGCGCGCGAUACAGGGUGACAGCCCCGUACACAAAAAUGCACAUGCUGUGAGCUCGAUGAGUAGGGCGGGACACGUGGUAUCCUGUCUGAAUAUGGGGGGACCAUCCUCCAAGGCUAAAUACUCCUGACUGACCGAUAGUGAACCAGUACCGUGAGGGAAAGGCGAAAAGAACCCCGGCGAGGGGAGUGAAAAAGAACCUGAAACCGUGUACGUACAAGCAGUGGGAGCACAGAGCAAUCUGUGUGACUGCGUACCUUUUGUAUAAUGGGUCAGCGACUUAUAUUCUGUAGCAAGGUUAACCGAAUAGGGGAGCCGAAGGGAAACCGAGUCUUAACUGGGCGUUAAGUUGCAGGGUAUAGACCCGAAACCCGGUGAUCUAGCCAUGGGCAGGUUGAAGGUUGGGUAACACUAACUGGAGGACCGAACCGACUAAUGUUGAAAAAUUAGCGGAUGACUUGUGGCUGGGGGUGAAAGGCCAAUCAAACCGGGAGAUAGCUGGUUCUCCCCGAAAGCUAUUUAGGUAGCGCCUCGUGAAUUCAUCUCCGGGGGUAGAGCACUGUUUCGGCAAGGGGGUCAUCCCGACUUACCAACCCGAUGCAAACUGCGAAUACCGGAGAAUGUUAUCACGGGAGACACACGGCGGGUGCUAACGUCCGUCGUGAAGAGGGAAACAACCCAGACCGCCAGCUAAGGUCCCAAAGUCAUGGUUAAGUGGGAAACGAUGUGGGAAGGCCCAGACAGCCAGGAUGUUGGCUUAGAAGCAGCCAUCAUUUAAAGAAAGCGUAAUAGCUCACUGGUCGAGUCGGCCUGCGCGGAAGAUGUAACGGGGCUAAACCAUGCACCGAAGCUGCGGCAGCGACACUGUGUGUUGUUGGGUAGGGGAGCGUUCUGUAAGCCUGUGAAGGUGUGCUGUGAGGCAUGCUGGAGGUAUCAGAAGUGCGAAUGCUGACAUAAGUAACGAUAAAGCGGGUGAAAAGCCCGCUCGCCGGAAGACCAAGGGUUCCUGUCCAACGUUAAUCGGGGCAGGGUGAGUCGACCCCUAAGGCGAGGCCGAAAGGCGUAGUCGAUGGGAAACAGGUUAAUAUUCCUGUACUUGGUGUUACUGCGAAGGGGGACGGAGAAGGCUAUGUUGGCCGGGCGACGGUUGUCCCGGUUUAAGCGUGUAGGCUGGUUUUCCAGGCAAAUCCGGAAAAUCAAGGCUGAGGCGUGAUGACGAGGCACUACGGUGCUGAAGCAACAAAUGCCCUGCUUCCAGGAAAAGCCUCUAAGCAUCAGGUAACAUCAAAUCGUACCCCAAACCGACACAGGUGGUCAGGUAGAGAAUACCAAGGCGCUUGAGAGAACUCGGGUGAAGGAACUAGGCAAAAUGGUGCCGUAACUUCGGGAGAAGGCACGCUGAUAUGUAGGUGAAGUCCCUCGCGGAUGGAGCUGAAAUCAGUCGAAGAUACCAGCUGGCUGCAACUGUUUAUUAAAAACACAGCACUGUGCAAACACGAAAGUGGACGUAUACGGUGUGACGCCUGCCCGGUGCCGGAAGGUUAAUUGAUGGGGUCAGCGCAAGCGAAGCUCUUGAUCGAAGCCCCGGUAAACGGCGGCCGUAACUAUAACGGUCCUAAGGUAGCGAAAUUCCUUGUCGGGUAAGUUCCGACCUGCACGAAUGGCGUAAUGAUGGCCAGGCUGUCUCCACCCGAGACUCAGUGAAAUUGAACUCGCUGUGAAGAUGCAGUGUACCCGCGGCAAGACGGAAAGACCCCGUGAACCUUUACUAUAGCUUGACACUGAACAUUGAGCCUUGAUGUGUAGGAUAGGUGGGAGGCUUUGAAGUGUGGACGCCAGUCUGCAUGGAGCCGACCUUGAAAUACCACCCUUUAAUGUUUGAUGUUCUAACGUGGACCCGUGAUCCGGGUUGCGGACAGUGUCUGGUGGGUAGUUUGACUGGGGCGGUCUCCUCCUAAAGAGUAACGGAGGAGCACGAAGGUUGGCUAAUCCUGGUCGGACAUCAGGAGGUUAGUGCAAUGGCAUAAGCCAGCUUGACUGCGAGCGUGACGGCGCGAGCAGGUGCGAAAGCAGGUCAUAGUGAUCCGGUGGUUCUGAAUGGAAGGGCCAUCGCUCAACGGAUAAAAGGUACUCCGGGGAUAACAGGCUGAUACCGCCCAAGAGUUCAUAUCGACGGCGGUGUUUGGCACCUCGAUGUCGGCUCAUCACAUCCUGGGGCUGAAGUAGGUCCCAAGGGUAUGGCUGUUCGCCAUUUAAAGUGGUACGCGAGCUGGGUUUAGAACGUCGUGAGACAGUUCGGUCCCUAUCUGCCGUGGGCGCUGGAGAACUGAGGGGGGCUGCUCCUAGUACGAGAGGACCGGAGUGGACGCAUCACUGGUGUUCGGGUUGUCAUGCCAAUGGCACUGCCCGGUAGCUAAAUGCGGAAGAGAUAAGUGCUGAAAGCAUCUAAGCACGAAACUUGCCCCGAGAUGAGUUCUCCCUGACCCUUUAAGGGUCCUGAAGGAACGUUGAAGACGACGACGUUGAUAGGCCGGGUGUGUAAGCGCAGCGAUGCGUUGAGCUAACCGGUACUAAUGAACCGUGAGGCUUAACCUU